UUAGUGCUCUUUACAUCUCGGUGUAUGAUUCUCUGGUAAAUGCCAGUUCCAGUGUGAAGGUAGUCCAGUCCUUGAGCUGCCCCGAUGCAAAUCCUGAGACGUCGAACCCAUGAAAGAGGUGGAGAAGAAGUGUCAUCUUGUCUAAGCCUCUUAUGAAUAUGAUCGGCUAACGUGCCAAGUGUCAUCUUGUCUAAGCCUCUUAUGAAUAUGAUCGGCUAACGUGCCCCCUGCCAUAAAUUCAUAAACAAGAAUCAUCUCAUAACCUUCAUCACAGUAACCAAUCAAGGACACUAGAUGGCUGUGCCGAACUUUUGAGAGCAUCUCAAUCUCUGCCCGGAAUUCUGUGGAUCCUUGACUCGACAUGGAUUUCAACCGUUUUAUGGCAACUAAAGUUGCUCCCAGAGUUCCUUUGUAAACAUUUCCAAACCCGCCUUUUCCGAUCACUAAAUCGUCGUGGAAGUUAGAUGUCGCCCGCUUCAUCUCAUUAAAGGAGAAACGGUAACAUGAUUGUCGAGUAGACAAUGAUUGAAGCCAGUUAUUUUGCUCCACGACUUCUGCUUCUUGAAGUUUUUGGAGCAUAUAAACCACGAUAUUCAAGAUGGUAAUAAGAAUAAUUGCUAAAUUUACAAUGAUGUUUGUAUUAGCAUGCAGAUCGCGUUGACACUUGCCAAGUUAAGAUCCAGCAAACAUGAAUACGUUAUGUAACUUGUAACAAUAUUUGUUCAUUUUAGGGGGAAAAAGUUUAAUAAUCCGUUAAAUGUUGGCAUGUUGAACUGAGUGAAAUUUGGGAGAGAAAUAAAGGUUGAAGUCGUAGAUGCAGUAUGAACCCAUUCCUUGACUUUCAAAUGCAGAGCUGAUAUAUUCCUUGAAUUCUUCAUCGUAGAGCUGUCUGAGAUAUCAUGCCCAAUGACUUAGCGAGAGCAGACAAGAACCCUGAGAUAAACUCACAAGUUUUCUCCGUUAAAUUCAAACAUAUAAAUAUAGUUUUUUUUUUUUUUUGCGACAAUAUAAAUAUAGAGUUUACUUCUUUGUAUGAUUUUGUUUGUCUUAUCUUUUUUGUUUGUCUUAUCUUAUUUUUCAAAUUUAAAUUAUUUACUUUAAAAAAUAUAUAAAAAUAUAUACUUCCUCCGUCCCUGUCAUUUCUUUACAGUUUUUUUCACCGCUCGACACGCAUUUUAAGGCUCUUAUAAAAUAUAGUCCCGUAACUUAUUUUUCAAAUUUUCUUUUUGUGUAUAAAAAUUCAAAUUUUUAUUAGAAAAAACGAAUUAAGAAAUAUGUUACGGGGAACUAUGUUUUCUAUUAUUAUUAAAAUACGUGCCGAACUCUCGUCCCCCCACCUAAACUACCUAGGGGCAGAGCAGGGGCGGACCCAUAGCCUUGGCUAUGGGUUCCCGGGCACCCACUCAACUUCCCACCGAAGUGUAAUUAUAAGGUAAAUUUCGGUUAAAAAUUAAUUUAAAAUUUAGCAGGAACCCACUAAAAUAUUUACCAAACUCAUUAUUUACCUCAAUAAUUUAGAGAUCUUAUUAACUAUUGGGCGAUUGGUGUUCGGAAUAAUUUAAAAUGUUGUAUUUAUUAAGAUAUUUGUCUAAAUAUAUACUUUUUAGUUUCCGGUGUUCUUUAAAUUAACAUUUAAUAUUAAUAUCAAAAAUUUAAAUAUUGAUAUCUAAAUAAAUAUUUAUUAUUUAUAUUACUAAAGUAAAAUAAGGAACCCAGUGAGAAAAAUUUCUGGGUCCGCCACUGGGGCAGAGGGAGUAUUACUUUGGUAUUCACCCAAAUACACUAGAUAAUCACAUAUUCUCCUGGUAUAGACCUCGUCACAGCAUUGUGCUGGAGUUACUCUGACCGUAAGGAAGUAGGUAAGGAUACCAGCUAGUGGAGUUUUUACUCUAUAAACAACAGCAACGAAAAAACAUACAUAUAUUCACCGACUCUAAAAGUCUAAGUCAUACAAUGAAAACAAGACAAACGCAUUUGACAUUUGGAUCAGAUAACCUGGAUUACUGGCCCUUAAUAUAUAUUUUAAUAUUCUAAUACAGAUUAAGAGAUAGUUGUUGGCUUCCUCUAAUCUCAACACUUAUUCAACUCAAAUUUUCCCCGAUGAUUCACAUAUAUUAAUCUACAUAUAUAUCACUUAUGUGAAGAUCAUUAAGAUCAUUAAGCCUAUAAAUACAAGGCUUUAGUUAACUAAUACAAAACAAAUUAAAGAUGGGAAGAUCAAUAGCAAUCUCUCUAGUUGUAGUACUAGUGUGUCUCAUCUUAGCAUCAGAAACAGCAGCAAAGAAACGAAAAUCUCCCCCACCACCUAAACAAUCUCCAACGCUUUAUCACUCCCCUCCUCCACCAAGAGCUGUGGAAUAUCCUCCGCCACCACCUCCUAUUUAUUCUCCCCCACCUCCACCUCCUCCACCUCCUCCUCCUCCUCCUCCUCCUCCCAUGCACUCAUUGCCACCACCAUUUCAUUAUCACUCACCGCGCCAUCCGGUUCAUGCCCCACCACCACCUAAGCACCAUUCUCAUCACUACAAGUACAAGUCUCCGCCACCACCUGCACAUUAUCCCGCACCAAAAUAUCACUACAAGUACAAGUCUCCGCCACCACCACCACCAGCCACGCAUCAUUAUUACUUUAAUUCACCUCCCCCUCACCACUACUAAGAUGAAGUGUCCUCAUUGCCGAACAAGAUGAGGUAAUAUUAAUGGCGUACGUGCAUGAUGUUUUCGAUAUAUCUAUGGGAUCAAUAUAUGAUGAUGUAAGGCAUCUAAUUUUCAUUUUAUGUAUCAAUAAUUUGUUCACAAUCAAUAAAAUUUUGUUAUGUGUUCAGCGUGAUCAGAUACUAAUUAAUAUUUCAUGUUUGAUCUCACGAGGAGUGUGAUAUAAAAUUCAUGGUUUAAUUACUGUAUGUACCAUUUUAGACUUUUUAGUAGAGCACCCUCUCUCGUAUAUAUUGUUACUCAGUACUCCCAUUUUAUAUGACUUUUACUCUUUUUUGGGACGUCCACAUACUUACUAUUUUUGAACACUACUUUCUACUAUUACACUAACUACUUUCUUCCACUAUCUCCAUUAUAUAAUAAUAUAAACACUAUUACACCCACUACUUUCCUCCACUAUCUCAAAUCUAUUAUUAAAUAUUGAUAGGUUCUCCCAUUUUUCAACUAAACUUACUACUCCCUCUGUCCCCUCAUUUGUUUACAUUGGGGGACGGGGGCUCGUCACGCAUUAUAAUGCUCUCGUAAAACGUAGUUCGAUAAAUUAUUUCGAACUUUUUUUUGUUCUGAAUAAAAAUUUGAUGUUUAUAUUUUUAUACAAAAAAGAAAAAAAUUAAAAAUAAGCCUUAAAAUGCGUGUCGAGCAGUGUGAAAAAACUGUAAACAAAUGAGGGGACAGAGAGAGUAUCUUUUUCUUAAUCUUCGUGAAAGUCAAACCAGCUCAUUUAUUAUAGGACGGAGAGAGUACGUAGUUAGUACAUGCAUAUUCAACAGGUUAAAGUCAAGGUGUUGCUCGCUCCUCCAAAGAAAAAAUGUAAAAUGUUCGCAUCAUAUUUGUCUCUGGAUAACUGAGAUGCGGCCACUUUUUUUUACGGAAAAUGUUUCGUGCACGUAAUUGUGUUCAAAAUUUUGUAUAUAAUAAUAUGUGGCAGGUUUUAAUUGUAAUGUGUCAUUUUAUUCACAUCAACAACCCCAAUUAAAAUAUUUUACAUCAAUUGUCAUCAUGUACAAAAAUUUUGUACACAAUAACAAAAAUGUACAAAUAUAUACUUAAUUUUGAAAAAUAUAUUUUUUUGCUUAUAUCUUCUAAUUUUUUUAUUUUGCUAAAUUUCUUAUAUCUUUUUAUUUACUGUUAGUUCAAUAAUAAAUCAAUAAACAUCAACCUCUUGCUGCACCUAACACUCAUUUUAAAGUACCAGUUCUACUGUUGCAUUUUGUUAAUCGAGUCCUCUCACGUCUCAUGAUCAUGAGGCUGGAUGCUUUUUAUUUAAAUUAUAAACAUCUGGAAUCGAUUUAACCAUUGUUUUAUAUUGUCUGUGUUAUUUUGAACUAAGAUCCAAUUUUCUAGAUAACAGGUCAUCAGUUUGGAAAAUGCCCUAGUCAGUCUUUAUUAGUGAUAUUCUACGCGCAUAGGCUUUUCUGAAGAAUAUAAAUUAUAACCAGGUGGGCGGAGGGCGGAUACACAUCUAUAUAUGUUUCCAAUUGGUCUGAGAUUAUGUUGGUAACUACAGAAUAAGGCUUGGUCUCCAUCCAUAGAUACGUUCCUAUUUUUCAUAGCUGACGUACCAAGUCAUAAAUACUUGUCUUAUUUCUAUUUUCAAACACAAUAUACAUGUAAAUCAAUUUAUUAAUUCAAUGCAUUUGUUAGAAGUACAAGGGAAACUAAUUAUUCAACUAUUUUUUUCUCAAGAUGGGUAAUUUUUUCAAAAGGACCUGUAAAAGUUGACGAAGAGAGUAUGUUUCAAGUUUAAUUUUAUCUCAUUCAAAUAAAAUUCAUUUAUAUAUAUUCAUAUUUUUCUUCAAAUAAAAAAUCUUGUAAUUAGUUAGAGCCUCUUUUAAAUCAUAAACUUUACGAGAUCUUAAAUGAUUAGUGAUUUAUAUAUGUUUAAGUUAGAUGAUGUACCAGUAAUAGUUAAGUAAAUUAGACGUUUAUUUUACAGUAUUAUUUAUCAUUAUAGUGCUAUUAGUAUAUUAAAUUAAUUUUCUGAUAUCGGGUUUCGGAUUUUGAGUUUCAGAUAGAGGUUUUCGAGUAUUUCAGAUAUCCAAUCCAAAAAAUUUGGGUUUCGAAUGUACCCGAAUUCGAUUCGAAAUCCGUUGGAUCAGAUUCGGGUAUUAAUUUUCGAAUAUUUUUCAGGUUUGGAUCGGAUUCUGCAAUGGAUAAAAAAUUCAGGUUUAAAUAUGAAUUAUGUCAUACCCGACCCGAUUGACAUCUCUGAUAAUUCAUACUACAUAAUCGCCUACUUAGUUUUAACGGAUUUGUACCUUGUUCUGGUGGUGGCAUGAUCUCGGCUAUAUGUGAUAUAUUGAUAUUGCCGACAUAAUCCGGACGCACUCGAAGAGCAUGAGGAUUCUUGUUUUUCUUACAACAUGGGCGUGAAAUCAAUCCGUAAGCAGGUGUAACUGUGAUAUUUUCUAUUAGUAUAUAAGAUUUUCUGAUUUAAUAAAAAAAUUCUAAGUUAAAUACCACAUUGGCGUGAAAUCAAUCCGUAGAGAUAAAACCUGCACCAUCUGCAUUGAUUUAAAACAUAUAAACAUCAAUAUUUUUUUGAAUAUUUUUUUAACAUUAUAUCUAACUAGUGAAUAAAGCCGCGCUUCGCGGCGGCGUUAUGAAUUUUUUAUAAAUUUUGAUAGGAAUUAAUAUUAUAAUUGCAUAAAAGUUAUUUUGAGUCAUGUUCCUGUUAAACAUAUCAUUAAUAAAAAAUAUUAUAAUUAAUAUAAAAAUUUGUUUAAGUGGUCCUCAUGUCAAACACAAUACUAAUAAAAAAAAUUGUUUGACCCGCCCUCCCAUCAAAGACAUGAUGAAGUUAAAGAUUAUAUUUGGAUAAAAAUUAUUUUAAGCUGUGGUCACGUUUUAAUAAAAAAAUACAUUAUAUCAUAGAUAAAAAUUUGUUUUAACCGCUUUCCCGUCAAACAUAAUACUAAUAGAAAAUUUAUUAUUAUUUAGAUAAAAAUUAAUUUGGGCCGCCCUCCCCUCAAACACAAUACUAAUCAAGAAUUUUUUUUAGAAAUUUUGAUACGAAAUAAUAUUAAACUUACAUAAAAUUUAUUUUAAGUCAUGUUCCUAUUAAACAUAUCAAUAAGAAAAAAUAUUAUAAUUAAUAUAAAAAUUUGUUUAAGUGGCCCUCAUGUCAAACACAAUACUAAUAAAAAAAAUGGUUUGACCCGCCCUCCCAUCAAAGACAAUAUUAAUCAAUAAUUAUGAUAAAAUUAAAUAUAAUAAUAUAGAUAAAAAUUAGUUUGAGCUACUCUUUUGUCAAGCACAAUACUAAUAACAAAAUAUUAUAAUAUAGACAUUAGUUUGAGUGGCCCUACUGUCGAACACAAUACUAAUAAAAAAUAUUAUAAUUAUGAUAAAGUUAAAGAUUAUAUUCGGAUAAAAAUUAUUUUAAGCCGUGGUACCAUUUUAAUAAAAAAUACAUUAUAAUAGAUAAAUAUUGUUUUAGCCGUUUUACCGUCAAACAUUAAUACUAAUAGAAAAUUUAUUAUUAUUUAGAUAAAAAUUAAUUUGGGCCGCCCUCCCCUCAAGCACAAUACUAAUUAAGAAUCAUUUACAUUAUGAUAAAAUUAUAAUUAUAAAUGGAUAAACAUAUCCAAUUUUAUAGAUUUUAGCUAUUAUAUUUUUCUUUAAGAUUCAGAUUUUUUAAUUGUUUAAAAUUAUCUCUCUUUUCUUUUAGGAUUCCUAUUUCUUAAUUACUUAGAAUUUUCAUAGAUUUUAGCUAUUAUAUUUUUGUUAAAAUUCCUAUUUCUUAUCUACUUAGAAUUAUAUCGCUCUUACGAUUACUAUUUUUUAGCUACCUUACCUAUUUUCUCACAAAAAAUUAGAAAAAUUAAACAGAAUUCCCGCGUAUCUUCUCAAGAAUCAUUUAAAUUAUGAUAAAAUUGUAAUUAUAAUUGGAUAAAUAUAUCCAUUUUUAAUAGAUUUUAUUUUUUAAUUUUUUUGAAUUAUCUCUCUUUACUUAUAAUCUUUACUUAUAAGAUUCCUAUUUGUUAACUACCUAGAAUUUUACAGAAUUUCACAAAUUUAGGAGGCGCUUUUCUCAUCUUUCUUUAUAUUCUUUACAAUAAAUUCACCAAAAUAAUAAUAUAAAAAAGACCGAACCUGACAUGAACGUAUUCUUUUAAUUGCAAAAAGAAAACAUGUUAAAGAACUCAAGACAUGGUUUGAACUUUGAUGAUGAAUGAAAUCACAACCACCCCAUGAUUUGAGAUUAAUUAUUGGCAAUAGUGGCCGCAAGCCGUUUGAUCAACAGGCAAAUCUAAGGUGUAAUUUCUUUUUCUUUAAAAGCAGCACCUUGAUAACCUUUUGGCCAGCCGGCGAGGGGUUAUGAAAAAUCAUGGGUACUAAUUACUAUAGCCUCGAACGGCUACAUAAAUAAACAUAACAGAACAUAUAAUGGCCGUUUGGAUGAGUUUAAAAUAAGUGCUUCUUGCUUAAAAUAAAAAAGUGGAGCAGAAGUUAGAAGCAAAUUAAGACUUAUAAGUGAUUAAAGUGUUUGAGAAAGAAGUAGAAGUCCUGAAACAAAAGUUAGCAUUCCUAGCUUAUUAUAAGUGCUUCUUGACUUAUUAUACAAACGGUACGAAUAAGUGCUCCUAACUUAUAAUCCAAGAAGCUGGACUUAUAAGUGUUACACAAACACCCACAUAAACGCAAACACACUAAGCUGUUGACAUCAGAUUCAGUUUAGUAGGAUUCAUGCGGUGUCAAAAUCAGGAAUUUGUAGAAAUUUUGGAAAAGACGGUGCGCCAAAACAAUCAAAGAUAAAACUAAAAGAAAAAUCACAUGGACUUAAAACAUCUUGAAAUUUCUGUUAGGUAAUCCAUAGNCCAAUAAGUUUCUGAAUAAAUCUCUUCCGAUGAGUUUCCGGAUAAAUUUAAGAAAAUUAUAAGACUAAAUUGAAAAUAAGAAUUGUAUUACUUUAUAAAUCUCAAAUAUAAAUUGUAUUUCUCUUAGGAUUUCUAAAUAAGAAAAGAAUUGUAUUAUCUUUAGAAUCCAAUAAGAAAAAGAAUCAUAUUAUCUUUAGAAUUGUACUAAACUUGAAUUUUUUUGAAUUAUAAUUAUAUUUUUCAUCCGAAAUUUAAGAAAAAUUAGAAGACUGAAUCGAACGAUUCUAGAGACACCCGCAUCCUCCUUUAUAUAUAUAUAUGAUUAGUCCGCCAAUUUGAAUAAAUAAUAUAAGUUAGCUCGUUGAAUUGUUUAUGUUAGAAUCAAUUAUACAAUCAUAUUUUAUAUAUUAAUUUUUUUUACUUAAAUUAGUUCAAUUUCAAAAUUUGAUUUUCAUUUAUUCGAUUUUUUUGUAUACAGUAGUUUGACUGAUUCCGUUAAAUAUUAUGUCCACUAUAUCUUUGUUUACCGUAUAAAUCAUUCAGUAAUAAACAAGUCAUGUCCAACUUUAUUAGAAUGUUCAAUACCAAAUGAUAACAUAGAAAACAAAAUUUUAAUAUUCAAACUAUGCAAUUUUUUACCGUUGCACAAUAUUUUUUUACCGUUUUGCAACAUUAACUAAAAUAUUAGUAGGGUUACGUUUUUCCUUAAAUCUGGUACUCUACUCUAGUCAGAAAACUAUUGCAGCAAUAGUUGGCAUAUUAGAAGUUAAUAGAAAAAGUCCAGAGGUGUAGUCCUCUGGAUGAUCAACUAAGGAACCCUUGACAGAUGAAGUUAGGAAGCUCUUGGAUGUUGAGUUCACCUGCCACAAAUGUAUGAGCUAUAUCGAGGGACAGAUAACAAUACUCAAGAAGGUCAAUUCUUUCGUAUUUACUCCAGCUAGAGUGUUUCAGGUACUCUCUAGCAAUGAACUCUGCGUGCUUGCCGUCUAUGCUCUGCCAAAUGUCCUCCAGAUCACCGUAAAUUGGAAAGCUCUUAAUCAUCUGAAUUUAUUAAAUGAGGAAUUUCAUUUAAUCAAUUCAAACUGCUUAUGUGUUAAAGAAAUUGACUGCACCUGAACCUUAGCCGUGCCUAAGUAAGUAAUGAAUAUUAGGGCGAUCCCUUGAACUGGCCACCUGAAUCCUCGCUAUCAGCCUGUGUUCUGUACAAGGAACUCAGAUUAAAAUCCAUUUAUCAUCAUUCAAUUAUAUAUUUUAUUGCUUAGAUUGUCAAUUUAGAACUGAGAAUUUAUAUAGCAUUUUAUGUUACUAAUACUCAUUUGUGCAUCCCCUAACCUCUCUUGAAUCUUACCUCAGUAUCUUCACUCUCUUACUCACCUCACCUGAUUCUCGCUCAACUCUCAACUCUCAUCUCACUUUCUCCACUCUCUCUCUCAUUAAAAGUGCAUUUGAACCGUAAGUAGGGUUAAUCGCCUCAAUUGGGUUCAAUCCUCGCUCUCUUUUGCUCUGGCUAAUUAAAGUAGCUAAUCGAAGCAGGGAAUUCAUGGAUCUUAAUGGAUUUUACGGGUCUUCAUGAAUUUCUUAUAAUUGAUACAAUUACAUCGACUUUUUCAUGGAUUUUGUACUAAUCAGGACUACAAUCUUCAUUUUCCAGGAGAUUAGGGCUCUCUCUCGAGGCUUGAAGUCGGGGCUUUUACUUUGAGAUUUGAGUUAGGACUUUCAAUUAAGGUAAAUCCAUAUUUAAUUAUGGUAUAAAUUUGGGUUUUGUAUUCUAUAUGUGAUGCCAUAAAUAUGGGUUUUGUAUUCUAUAUGUGAUGUUUUAAUUUACAUGUUUUAAUCAAGGUAAAUCGAAUCCUUAUGGUGUAACUUUGGUUUUGUUUUUUAGAAUAUACUGUAUUGAUUGAAAUAGAAUGGGAGAAAGAAGAGGGCGAGAGACAAAGUAGUCGAGUCUAUAGAGAGUCACAGAUUAAGAGAGUUAAAGAAAAUAGGAACCUUAGGGUGAUUUUAUAUAUAUGAACUUUACACCUUAUGUACUUUAUCUUUGGUGUAUCUUGAUUUUCUUGCUUGUCCAUCCGUAUUUAUAAAGACAGACUAGAACUUAUAGUAACUCUACAAUCUUCUUUCCAUUGCAAAGUUGCAUCUUAUUAAGAUCUAUUCCUGCAGGCAGAAUGAGAUUGAUAGUAAAUUUCUAGAAGCACAGAACAUCAUGGACUAUAGUUUUCUGCUUGGUGUGCAUUAUCAAGCUCCGCAGCAUCUGCGAUCUCUUAUGUCUUAUAAUCAAAGUCUGGCAGACGGACUUGGAGUAGUUGCGGAAGAAGGUGGGAUGCACAUUUGUAUAACCAAUUUAUGAUUUAAAGAUUCCUAAAUCUUUCGAUCAGGAUAGGUCACACAUAAGAAAAUUGAUUUCUAUUUCACAGCUAAAAGUCACGCAUUUUUCAUAACUAUAUUAACUUCAGAGCACUAGACUCCUUCUGCAGAGUAUCGCGAUAUAACCUUGUGAAUAUCAUUGAUUCACCUUGCACUCUUUUCUUACUGGUACUGUUUAUAGUUUUCUAGUAUCUUUAGGUAGAACAAGAAUACUAGUAUUCUUAAUUAAUAGUAGCAAUCUUGGGAGAGGAUGUGUAUGGCAAAAAGUAAGGGGGGAAAUGGGUUUCAGAGUUUUGCACGGCUUCAACUUGGCCUUAUUGGGGAAGCAGCUAUGGAAUUUCAUGAGUAAUCCUGACGCACUGGUUACACGUAUCUUUAAAGCCCGAUAUUUCAGUGAUUGUCAUUUAUUGAAAGCAAAGUGAGGUGCUGGUUCGAGUUUCUUAUGGACGGGCUUAUGGGAGACUAAAGAAGAGUUGUAUAAAGGCUAUAAAUGGGUUUUGGGUGAUGGAAUGGAUAUUGAAAUAUUUAGAGACCCAUGGUUACAGGGAAAAAGAGAAUUAUGUGUGGAAGACUACCAUGAUAACAAUGUCAGACCUGACAAAGUGUGCGCACAUUUCCGUUCUAAUACUAAAGAGUGGGACGAGCAUAAGGUAUGCCAAACUUUUCUCGAUGAUGAUGUUAAAUGCAUUCUUCAGACUAGAGUUCCUCAAAUUGGAAAGAAAGAUAGGGUGGCUUGGAUGGCAACUGUUGAUGGUAAGUACACUGUUAAGUCUGGGUAUCAUUACUAGUAUGACAAAAGUGGGAAUAUGGCCUCUGUUAUUGAGUGGAAUAGGUUAUGGAAUCUUGAUCUACCACACAAGAUCAAGAUAUUUAUAUGGAGGUUUUGUAGAAAUAACCUUCCUGUUAGAAAUUUGCUGAGAUGUAAAAGGUGUGUAUCCCAAUUUUAUGUCCAACGUGCAAUGCGGAUGAUGAGCAUUUACUUCACUUAUUUUUUGACUGUGGCUACGCUAAGAAAUGUUGGGAGGAAGCUGGUUUGAGCUAUGAUAUGAGGACAGUGGAGGAUGCUUUUCAUUGGCUCCUUGAGAGGUUAAGUACUGAAAUGAGCGAAAAGUUGAUUAUCAUAACAAAAGUGCUAUGGGGCAUCUGGUUUGGUCGUAAAAUGAAAGUGUGGGAUUCAAAUAGGGGUGACAGUUUUAUCCGACCCGAUGGAUACUCGACCCGUUCCGACCCGAUUGGGUCUACCCGAACCCGAUAUAGUUGGAUCUGGAUCCGGAUCUGGAUCUUAUUUUCAGACCCGAAAGAGUUUGGAUCUGGAUCUCAUAUAUUCCGAACCGAGAACCGACCCGAAACCCGAUUUAAACCUGAUCCGAACCCGAAACCCGAUAAAAACCCGAUACAAAAUAUUUUUAUAUAUAUAUAUAUAUAUAUAUAUAGGAGGAAGAUCCUAAGAAAACCCAGCUUAUCAAGAAAACUGAGAAACCCACUUAAUCACCGUUCAUCUCAUAAUCAUAAUAUUUAUCAAAAUAUCAAUCAAAUCUAAUUUAUAAAGGAUAGUAUAGUAAUCUUCUACAUACAUUUAAUGCAUUCAAUAAAUACAUGCAUUUAAUGCAUUCAAUCAGUACAUUUCUUUCUUCAAAAAGAUUUGUCUAAGAUUUGCUUCAAUAUUCACGCAUUAUCCAUACUGCAUCAAUCAAGCUCACAUAUAAGGAUUAAAUUAGUAAAAUAUAAAUAUUAUUUAACUAACAUAAAUAAUAAGAUAUGCAAUUAAUUGAUUUCUUUUUUUUAUAUUAUUUAUAUCUCAUUAAUAGUCAGAGCAUUUAGUGUAUAUUAAAUUUGAAUUUCAAAUUUCAAAAUUUCUAAGUUUCACCGUGAGAAAUAGAAAAGAUAUAAUAACAUUUUUUUAGCAUUUAUUUUUAUUUAUAAUUUUUUGACGUAAGAGGUUUCUUAAAGUAUUCCUUUAGAUAUUAUUAUAACUUUUGUAUUCGUAUUCUUUUAUAUUAAUUGGUUUAAGAUUUUUCGAAAUAAUAAUUAAUAAAAAUAUUAAAAGAGUCAAAAGAAUAUCAUACAGUGAAUAAUUUAUACAAGAAAAAUCUCAAAUUUUAAAAGAAUCUUGCAUGACACAAAUAUUUAUUAUUAAAAAUAAUAAAAUAUCUUAGAGAAUCUUUAAAAUUUUAUUAUUUAAGAUCAUAUUCUAAAAUACAUUUAGAUAAGAUAUUUUCAUAGGUAUUAUCAUGUGUACGAAAUUACUCAACAAAAUCAGAUCAAAUAUUUUCUCAUUAACUAUAGGAGAGGUAUUUCAGUUUUAUUAAUAUAACAUAUAUGAUAAAUGUCAUUUGAAUGUAAUUGGAUUCCUUCAAGUGUUUAUAUUCAAAGUAAUAAAAUAUAACAAGAUUUCGUUAAGUGUUUUGAUGCAUAUUUUAAAAGAAUAUUGCAUGGCACAAAUAUUUAUUAUUAAAAAUAAUAAAAUAUCUUAGAGAAUCUUUAAAAUUUUAUUAUUUAAGAUAUUAUUCUAAAGAGCAUUUAGAUGAGAUAUUUUCAUAGGUACUGUCAUGUGUAGGAUAUUACUCAACGGAAUCCGAUCAAAUAUUUUCUCAUUAACUAUAGGAUAGGUAUUUCAAUUUUAUUAAUAUAACACAUAUGAUAAAUGUCAUUUAAAUGUAAUUGGAUUUCUGCAAGUGUUUAUAUUCAAAGUAAUAAAAUAUAACCAGAUUCCAUUAAGUGUUUUGAUGCAUAUUUUAAAAGAAUCUUGCAUGACACAAAUAUUUAUUAUUAAAAAUAAUAAAAUAUCUUAGAGAAUCUUUAAAAUUUUAUUAUUUAAGAUCUUAUUCUAAAGAGAAUUUAGAUAAGAUAUUUUCAUAGUUACUGUCAUGUGUAGGAAAUUACUCAACGGAAUCUGAUCAAAUAUUUUCUCAUUAACUAUAUGGUAGGUAUUUUUUUUUUUUGAAGAUGAGAAUAAAUCUCACAAAUAUGAAUCGGCAAUUCACUGUGAUAAUUCUUUCAUUCAACAAAGCUUAUCAUCUAACCGUCGGAUAUGCAAGAUGACCGGGGAAAUUUAGACAAUAAAACUUUAAUGUCCGAAAAGAAAAACCCGUCUUCUUCCAAGAAUCCUGAAAAUUAAAACGAAGGAAAUAAAAAGAAUCUUGCAUGACACAAAUAUUUACUAUUAAAAAUAAUAAAAUAUCUUAGAGAAUCUCGUACAUAUAUUCCAAAAAGAUUUUGUAUGGUCAUGUUAAUGAUUAGAUAUUUAAGAUUCGAUUAAGUGUUUUAAUAUCAAAUUACUAAAUUAAAUAUUAAGCAUUUAUGAUACUAAAUGCUUUCUAUUUAAUGUUUUAAUUAAUUAUUUACUAUUGGAUAAAAAGUAAGAUUUUGACAUGUUAACUUCAUUAGUAAAAUGGUAAUGGAACCUUAAUAUUUUAACUUCAUUAGUAAAAUGGUUAAUAGAAUCUUAAUAUUUUAACAUCAUUAGUAAAAUGGUGUUAAACAUCUUAACAUCAUUAGUAAAAUGGUUAAUAAAAUCUUAAUAUUAAUCUUUCACUUAUCACAAAAAUAAAAAAAAUUAUAAUACAUCAUGUUUUUUUGUAAAAUAGUUAAAAAAAAUAAUUAAAGCAUUAAACAAAAAUUAUUUAAUAUCCUACCAAAUGUUCGUAAAAUCUAUUAAUUUUUUAACAAAUAAUAGUAUUAAAAUAUUAUCAUUAAACAUUCUUAUUAACAUCUUAUAAAAUAUACACGUUCUUUAAUUAACAUAAAUAAUAAGAUAUACAAUUAAUUGAUUUCCUUUUCUAUAUUAUUCAUAUCUUAAUUAAUCAGUGUGUAUUCAGUUUGAAUUUCAAAUUUCAAAUUUCAAAAGAUUCAACUUGAUAAAUAGAAAAGAUUUAAUGAUAUUAUUUUAGCAUUUGUUUUUAUUUAUGAUUUUUGGAUGGAGGAGGUUUCUUAAAGUGUUCCUUUAGAUAUUAUUAUAAUUUUUGUAUUGGGAUUCUUUUAUAUUAAUUGGUUUGAGAUUCUUCAAAGUAAUUAUUAAAAUUAUUAAAAGAGUCACAAGAAUAUCAUAAGGUAAAUAAUUUAUACGUGAAAAAUCUCAAAUUUUAAAAGAAUCUUGCAUUGCACAAAUUUUGUUAUUAAUUUUUUUUAGAGAAUCUCGAAUAUAUAUUCUAAAAGAAUAUAGUAUGGUCUUAAUUUAAUAUUAAAAUUAAGAUUCUAAAAGUUUUAUUAUCAAGUUUUCUCUGAAUAAAAGAUUCUACUAGAAGUUUUCUCUGAAUAAGCAUAACUAGAACACAAACUAGAACAUCCAUAAACAACUAGAACACAAACUAGAACACCCAGAAACUAACUGAAGAACAACUUCCACAAGAACCUAGUAUUCUAAGCAAACAUAACUAGAACACAAACUAGAACACCCAAAAAUUAACUCAAGAUUAACUUCCACCUUAGUAAAGAACCUAGUAUUCUAAGAAGAUCAUCUAGUAUUCUAAGAAGAUCAUGUGGAAUCCUCGAAACUUUCCCUCUCCAAGAGAUUCUGAUCAACAUCCAUCAAGUCUUUACUCGCGACGUAGAAACAGGAAAUCGAAGAAUCAAAAAGUAGGACCUCCGAGGAAAACAAAAGCUAUUAAGAACAUAGGUUAGCAUUCUCCGAAAUGUUUGGAUCAUGGAGAUUCUUGAGCAUUCUAUCCUCAAGAACAUCCUGAGCAUUUUAUCCUCCAGACUUGGGAACUCACAGAUGAACCAAUUUUCUCAUAAAUCAAUCUUCCGCCUCGUUCUUCUUCUGCCCAACUUGAAAUUGUUGACUCGAUUGGUUUGUACGACUUGAAAUUAAAAAAACUCAAAGGUUGAGGGUACUCCUUGAUGUUAAAAAGUAGAACCUUUUCGAAUCCAAUCUCCACAACCCAUUGCCUUUGUGCAUCUGAAAGAUUGUUCACGAUUCUUUUUAAGAAGAUAGGUUUGGCUCAAACCAACAAACGGUCGGUGUUCUCAUGGAGAUUCUUCUCCACCAUUAUAUCUCUGAAAAUGAAGCGAGGCUAUUUUGCGAUAGUUUGAAAAGGAAUACAAGAGUCACAACAAUUAAAUGAUAUGAAAAAGAUUUAAGAUCGAUGAGAAUGAUAUGUCGUACAAACCUUCGAUUGAUGAAUCAUAGUGUUUACACGACCUCGUAGUUUUCUCCUGCUUACAAUUCUAGUGGUUCUUCAUCACAAUGUAUACAUGUAAUGAUCUGAUAUGUAAAGAUUUGUGAUUAAUUUAUGUGCUUUGAUUGGAUUUUGGCAGAUGCCAAAAUUAUAAAAUUUCUAAUUAAUCAAAAAUAGAUUCCUUACGAUUUUGCCCUUGUGUGUGUUAGAUUUUGAUAUUUUUUGAUUGGAUUUAAUUUGGGAAAUGAUUAUAUAUGACAAAAAUAAUCAACGGCAUCUAAGAGGGUUUUUCAGUUUUCUUGAUAAUUUGGUUUUCUCUGGAACCUCACUCAUAUAUAUAUAGGCUCAUGAUCAAAUAGAAACCACUCUUAAAAUAAAAACUAGAAACCAGUUUCCCUACCACUAUUUAUAACUACGGGUAUCACUAAUUUAUACUGCACUAAUCACUGUUUUUAUAGAGUAUGUAAACAGCGAUUUUUAUCAUCAAAAUUGAGAAAAUUUACUUAUCUAAAUUAUUGAUAAUCGAUUAUAGAUGAUUAAUUUCAUCCGUAGGAAGGUUCUUGGUGGUAGGAAGCCGCAAUAGAAGCUGUAUGAUGAUGGUAAAAUAAUCGUUAGUUUUGUAAGUUAUGAUGGAAAGUGUAUGUGACUAUUGGUGAUGAUAGAACAAUGGUGGCAAGUUAUAANNNNNNNNNNNNNNNNNNNNNNNNNNNNNNNNNNNNNNNNNNNNNNNNNNNNNNNNNNNNNNNNNNNNNNNNNNNNNNNNNNNNNNNNNNNNNNNNNNNNNNNNNNNNNNNNNNNNNNNNNNNNNNNNNNNNNNNNNNNNNNNNNNNNNNNNNNNNNNNNNNNNNNNNNNNNNNNNNNNNNNNNNNNNNNNNNNNNNNNNNNNNNNNNNNNNNUAUAUAUAUUAUGUUUCAUGUAAAGUAUAUAUUCUUUCUUAAAAUUUUAGUUGUUAUGAUAUUAUAUAUUUUAUAAAUUGAUAGUAUAAAUGAUAAAUAUUUUUAUUAUCUAUUUGUAUAUCCUUUUAUAAUAUUAAUAUGUAUAUGCUUUUAUAAAAAAAUAUAGAAUAAUCUAUUAUUCUAUAUGCUUUAAUAAAAAAACAUAAAAAUAUCUAUUUUUUAUAUAUUUUUAUAAUAUUUUCAAUAUCUAUUUGUAUGUUUUUUUUAUAAAAAAACUUGAAAAUAGAAAGGAUUACCUAAUAACUUUCAAAUUAUAAAUAUAGCUCAAAAUUUAUUAUUUAUAAUUUAAAUUCUAAUAAAUUGAAAUUUGAUUAAAUUAUAUUAACCUACUCAUAUAUUUUUUCUUAAAAUUUUAGCUGUUAUGAUAUUAUAUAUUUUAUAAAUUUAUAGUAUAAAUGAUAAAUAUUUUUAUUAUCUAUCUGUAUAUACUUUUAUAAUAUUGAUAUGUAUAUGCUUUUUUAAAAAACAUAGAAUAAUCUAUUAUCUAUAUGUUUUUAUAAAAAAAACUUAGAAAUAUCUAAUUUUUAUAAUAUUUUUAAUAUCUAUUUGUAUUUUUUAUAAAAAAACAUGAAAAUAGAAAUGAUUACCUAAUAACUUUCGAAUUAUUAUUUCUCAGAACCUCUAUUAUGUUACACAUCAAAUAGAUGAUACUACUAUGUACAUCUAUUUUGAAUUAAAUAUCAAUUCAAUUCUAUACAGCACUUGUGUAAUGUACAAGCAGUUUUCUUUAAACUUCAGUUUUACAACUAUAUCCAAAAGUCCACUAAAGAUGUUAAAAUAUGUGUUGCCAUCAUGACAGCACAUCUCCGGAGGAACUUUUUGACGAAGUGUGAGUUCUUUUUAGAUUUAAAAUUUAACGUCUAUGUUAUUUUCCAUAUCAAGUUUUUUGCUUAUACUAAUAUUUGAGCAUAUAUAUAUAGGUUGACAUAAGUGAAUUAUUUACAGCACUAUAUUGUGAGGAUCAUUCUUGUCCCUUAGGAAAAAAAAUUGUUUGUAUAUUUUUAAUAGAGAAUCAUGACUAUAAGACUAUCAGUUGCAUGGAGCACUGGACUGUUUUUUUUUUUCAAUUUGUGAUGCCAGAGACAUAUAUAUCCUUGGAAUAUGAAAUAUAAUCUGCGGUACUUUAGGCAAGUGAUAUAAGUAAAAUAGUAAUAGUGCUAUUCUAAAUUCCUUUAAGUUGGCUUACAUAAUACUACUGCUUAAUUUGACAGAGUGCAACUUUUCAUUUCUUCGAACCUGCUAAACUAAUUCUUAUAAAGGGAAAAACUUGAGAAAAAGGACAUCAAGAGGCUUACUAAGUCCUAACUAUGCCUUACAUUUGAAGACCUUAAAUAGAAAUGUUUUUCUUCACCUUAUGUAUAUUCUCUCUCUGUAUACACAUGAUAUACACACUUGAUUAAAGUUUGGUUUGUUUAUUCACUAAUUUAUAAUCUAGAUGAAUAUAACCAAUCGGUUAAUAAAAUUUUAUACAAUUUUAUUUAAUUAAUAAUAAAACGCUAAUAAAAGGAUAUUAAGUUUAUAAAUAAUAAAAUUAAAAAAAUAUGGUCGCCCGUGCGAAGCACGGGUUAUAGGCUAGUAUUAUACUAAUAAGGGAACUAGUACUUAAACGAAGAAGAAGAUUACUGUUGUGUUUGGUUGAGGUGAAUGAAAAUGGAAGGAAUGGAAUAAGAUUUGAACUAUAAUUUAGUUGAAUGUAUAGUAAUUUCAUUCCUUCUACCAUUCCAUUCUUAUCACUCUUAACUAAAGCUCCAACUCUCCAUUUUGUGAAGGAAUGAUCCAUUCCUUAUCAUACCUAUUUUCUACCCAAAUCUUAUCAUACCAAAUUUGCUCUCAUUCAUUUUUUUCAAAGUCCUUCAUCCUACACUCUAUUAUUUUCUUUUAUUUUUACUCAUUCCAUUCACCCCAACUAAACAUAACAGGUCGACAAGGGUGAUGGAUAAUAAACAUAAACUAAUCUAACAGAAACACACACGAUUAUGAAAACUACAGCAAUUACUAGAUAGUAGUAAACUUGGAGAAGGCCCGGCUCGUUGAAUAAAGAGGCCCUGUGCUAAAUGUGGAUAUUGGACCCUUAUUAUCAAAAAACAGAAUAUUCAAUGAGGCCUCUGCUAAAUGUGUAUAUCGGGCCCUUAUUAUUGAAAAACAGAUGCACAAUUCAAUUAGCCACUAAACUGGAACACGUUAAUUGAAUGGAAAGAUAUAAUCAUGUUCAUUGAAAUAGAAGCUUAAAUUUUUGUAAGUCGAAGCUGAGAGAGAGGAAUACAGGACAAAAUCAUCAGACUCUGCAUCUUGAUUUUGUAUUAGUUAAGGUUUUAUUUUUUUCUUAUAGCGUUUUGUUUCGAUGCAGACAUACUGUAAUGGGCCUGAACUAUAAAACUCAGCAAUGGAUGCAAGUCGGAAAAACAGAAGUCUACACAGCAACGCAACUUGAGGGAGGAUUUUAAUUGAAAAACUAAACUUACAGCUCAGCAAUAUUUACAGUGAUGAAGAAGAUACAUACUUGUUUGUGAAAAGAGAGAAAAUGAAAUAUGGACUUAGAGCAUCUACAAGAGGCUCUUCAUUUAGGCUCCUAACUUGAUAUUUGAGGAGGGAGAAGCAAAAUGUUGCUCCAAGAGACUCUUAAGUGGCUCUUAAAUCUUAAGAGCCUCUUGUUUCUCUCUCCUCUCUCCUCAAAGUUAAGAGCCACCACAUGGCUCCUAACUUAUUUUUUCACAAUAAAAAAAUCCUUCCCUCCAAUCAACCUCCAUCUUUCCCUCUCUUUUGUUAUAGUGGAGCCCAAUAUAUGAAUAAAAUAUGAAAUAGAGAAGAGAUGUAGAGAGUAUUGUUGGAGUUUACACUCUUAACUUUGUCCUAAAUUACUAAGAGCCACAUUUUUUAUAUUAUAUUUAGGAGCCAACAAGGAGGCUCUUGGAGAUGCUCUAACAAGUUAGCUAUGACCCUAACUAUCUAUUUAUAUAGAUACAGCUCGUAGAAUAAUGUACUACUCCCUCCGUCCCCCUCAAUUGUUUACAUUGGAGGGGGACACGGAGACCAAGACAAUGUAUGAAAAAUGAGUAAAGUUAGAUGAAAAGUGGGUAAAAUGGUGGGACCCAUCAAUAUUUAAUAAUAGAUUUGAGAUAGUGGAGGAAAGUAGUGGGUGUAAUAGUAGUUUUUAUUGUUAAAUAUGAGAUAGUGGGGGAGGAUAGUGGGUGUAAUGAUGGGAAAAACUUAUUAUUUAUAGUAGAGUUAAUUGCAAUUGGCACCCCUUUGGUUUCGGCUUAUUGCACAUUGCACCUAAUAGUUUUGGAAAAUACACUUUGCAUCCCCAGACUUUUAACCCGUAGACACUUUGCACCCUUUCCGUUAAAUUCUACCGUUACCGUUAACUUUUGCAGGGGCAUUUUGGGAAAUUUAAUUAUAUUUAAUUAAAAUCAAACCUUUAUUUAAAUUUUUUGAUCAUCUAAACGAUAUUUUUCGGAAAAAUUUAAAGAACGAAAGUUGUAGAGAAUAAAAAGAUCUUCUUAGAACUAUAAGGUUCAAAACUUUCGUAAUUCUUUUUAUAAUUAUUUUUAAAAAAAUUCAAAAAUUAGCAAUCUUGUAAAAAUGAACAAUCGUUUUUAAAUAAUUAUUUAAAUUUUGAACCUUAUUGUUCUAAAAAGAUCUUUUUAUUCUCUACAACUUUCGUUCUUUAAGUUUUUCCGAAAAAUAUCGUUUAGAUGGUCAGAAAAUUUAAAUAAAAGUCUGAUUUUAAUUAAAUAUAAUUAAAUGUCCCAAAAUGCCCCUAAAAAAGUUAACGGUAACGGCAGAAAUUAACGGAAAGGGUGCAAAGUGUCUACGGGUUAAAAGUCUGGGGCUGCAAAGUGUAUUUUCCAAAACUAUUAGGUGCAAUGUGCAAUAAGCCGAAACCAAAGGGGUGCCAAUUGCAAUUAACUCUUUAUAGUAACGUAAAGAAAUGAGAGGGAAAUCCCAAUAUAGUAACUGUAAAGAAAUGAGAGGGACAGAGGGAGUAUCAAAUAUUUAGCCGCCGCUUGUCUUACAAAUGGUUACAAUGAUCCGUACUAGGACGCUAAUAACAGAUUUUGUCCUGUUUGCAGACUAGAGACUGUGAAAUUCAGAGUUUGUCCCUUAACGUACAGAUUCCUCGUACACUUUGUUAUGCCCAGAAUUUGAAGUUAUUUUGUUAGGAUGGAUUAUAAUCCCAAUAGAACAAAGACGAGUGUAUACUAGUAAAUUUAUGUUACAUUGGCACAUACAAUUGGAACCAUGCACAAGAUGUGUUCUGCGUACAAGGCUGUAAAAUUUUACAUGACGGGGCGAUAGUGAUACAUGCAAACGCCUUCAUAAUCCUUCUGCUAAGAAUUGAAUCAUCAAUCUUCAUUAAGUUAGUGCUUGAGUUAUUCAUGCCUAUAAAUAUUAUAUUUUAUAUAUAUUAUGAUCAUUCCAUGGAGUAACUCUCGACUGAACUCGGACGAAUACCAUCUUAAAAUUAAUUUUUAUAGUAUUAAUAAUACUAGCCUUUAACCCGUGCAAAGCACGGGCGACUAUAUAAUUUCAAUUUUAUUAUUUAUAAGUUUAAUGUAUUUUAUUAAUAUUUUAUUAUUAAUUAAAUAAAAUUUUAUUAAAUUAUAUAUACCUACUGGUUAUAUUCAUUUUAGAAAGUUUGUCUUGUACAAUAUUUUUCUAUAUUAUAACACAUUAGUAUAAAAAAUUAAUAUUUUUAUUACCAUAUGUGAUUUUUUUUCUUAAUAUUAAUAUAUGAUAAUGUGUUUUUCAUUAAUAUUAUUUCAUAUUUUGCAUAUUUCAUUGCAUAGCCUAGGUGACUAUAGUAUUCUAAAAAAUUUAGUUAUAUUAAAAUAUUGAGAUAACAUUUUAAGUUAUUGGAAAGAAUUUAUUCAUUUAUAUAUUUUAGGUAUUAAAAUGUUUUUGUUUGAGACGUGUUAAUUAGUGUAAUGUGUCCUGACAUUCUGAGGCCUUUUUUAGAUAGCUUAAGUUGGUAGGUACUGCAGUAGGGAUGAUCAAAAUCGAACCGAAAAUCGAAACCGAAACUAUGAAAAUGGGGACAAAACCGCACCACAAAAAACCGAACCAAUUAAUAACUGAACCGAAUAAAAACCGGACCACUAAUAUAGUUCUAUAUGCGGUUUGAUUUUGAAAUUUUUAAAACUGAAUACAAACCAAACCGAACCAGAAAAAAUUAAUUAUAUAUAAUUUUCGAAUUAUGUAUAUUAAUAUUUUAAUUUAAUUUUAUAGACCAUCAUAUAAUCGUCCCAUAUAUUAUGGGAUGUUUAAUUCUUUUUCUGCUUUACUUCGCCGACAUUUAAGUUUUUUUAUAUGCUAAAACAGAAGGCGACAACUAAACUGGUAAGUGUUGCACAGUGCACAGGUUACUUCAAUAAACAUUAUAAUAUCUUUCAUUUCGUAGUAGCAUUAAAUAUAAAAACUUCACCGUAUUAAAGUACUCGUGAAUACGAAUCUAACAAGAUCACUCAUGACUAUAUUUAGUUUUAUAGAUUAGAUGUAAAUUAGUAAUUUGUCUCAUGUUAUGAACAGUACCGACAUUACAAAUAGGAAAAGAAAAAAGAUACGGAGGGAGUAGUAAUUUAUAUGAGAUACUUGUGAGGGUGUUUGCCAUAGCUCAUGUAUAUAUUAUUUUAUAUAUUUAAAUUAUUUUAAAUUAUAACGUUAUUUAUAUAUUCAUAUCGUAUUUUAAUAAAUAUAUUAAAAAAUUAUAUAUUUGGUUUUGAAACCGAAACCGCACCAUUUAAAACCGAAUUCAAAAAACCGAACCGCACCAUUUAUAUAUAUGCGUUUGGUUUUGUGUUUUAAUUUUACAAACCGAAAACCGCACCGAACCGCACCAUACUCAUCCCAAACUGCAAGUGCUGAUUUUUUCUCAUCUAUAUCUCAAUGAACAGUUGUUCAGAGACAGUGAAGACAAGGCUUGGUAAUGUACAUAUAUUAAGCAUGCAAGUUGUUGAGUGGCUAAGAUGAUGUAGAUGCACGCACAACACAAGUUCUGGUCAUCCCACAUCUGAUGCACAUGAAGAUCUACUACUGCACAUAUGUGGUUGGGUUAUUGAUGUAGUUAGAAGAGUAUUGCAUCUUGCUACAAGGUUCAUAUAGCUGCAAUUGUUAAUAUUCUCUGCAGGGAAAUUGUAUUAAAUAGUAGGGCAUUCUGAUUGUGGUGAGGAUGUGUAGGGAUUAGAACAAGUCUUACAAAUUAUAUUGAGCUGCAGUCUCCUUAAAUUUUCUUACUGCAGCAGAACUAAGUUAAAGUUAAUAACUACAAGUAAUUAUUAUAGAAGUAGUAGGACACUUUCAAAAAAAUUGUGUUCCCCGGAAAGAUAACUGCUAAAACUGGUGAAAUUGUUACACAAGUGUUGUAUAGAAUUGAAUUGAAUUGACGGUAAAUUUAAAAUAGAUCUAGAUAGAAGUCAAUGGAUAAUGUAAGAUAAGCCGAAAGGCAUCCCAUCUGCUUCCAUGAAUGGCCUUUCUGAUAAAUCAACUUUUGCGAGUUCUGCAAGAGCAUUCAAAUCCAUUGAAAGCAAAGAUGCCUAAAAUUAUAGCAGAAAAGAAAGGAAGUCAAUGUCAUGUAAUAUGAAGCAGAGGAAAAUAAUGGAAGCUGCCUGAGUACUUAAAGCAAACAAAAAUAUCAACUAAUAUAGGAACAAAUUAGCUGAAUAAAACAAACAUACGAUCCUGAACCAUGGUAUGAAUAUAAAUACAAUGCUACCGGUUAUAUUGCAUAUUUUCCUUCUGCUUGUUUGAUAUUAUGCGUUCAUUUAAAGGUUCUUGGACUCCUUAACCACAUCUUUUCUUGUAUUACUAUUACAACACACAGUUCAGCACGACCUAGGGACAGGCAAAAUUGGGAAUCACCACAAUCAUCACAAUAUUAAACAAUCAUAUAUGCAUAUAUGUAGAAUGCUCCUUUAUUCUUAACACAAAUUCCUAAUUUCAAUCAAAUUGUGUCCCACAACAACUCUCCUAUCAAUCAUAUGAUAAAUACGACACUUCAGCAUCGACAAGAAGGAAUACAAGGGACAAAAAAUGGUUAAAAUAUAGAUCAGAUGGUUCUCCAGUAAGAGAACAUAGGUCACACCAUAAUAAUAUAGAAUAAAUAUAGACUAUAAUGAUAGUCAUGCACUUGUUUUUGCUGAAAUUACUAUUGUGCUGCAUCUGGUGCAUCAGUAACUGCUAUUCCUAUACCAGCUUUCUUCAGAAAGGGGGAUCAUUGACACAAUCUCUAGUCAUACCACAAAUAUGCUUCUUCUCCUGUAACUUCUUUACUAUUUCAUACUUGUGCUCACACUUAAAAAGGACCUAAUAAUAGCUAGACCAGAUGAAAUAACAAUACAAACCGACCCCAAGCAGCUGCAGUACUCUAUUAGUGCUUCAAAACAACAAAGAAAGAAAAAAAAGAGAAACAAAGAUUGUAUGUAUAGUAGAAAUCAUAGACAAGUAUAUCAUGAUCAACAGAUAAAACUUGCUCAAUCAGCUUUAUAAUAUAGUCUCACCAUAAACUCAAAAUCAACACUAUUUGUGGAUAUCCAGAUUCUUCACUCAAGUACAUCUCAAUUACUUUAUAUUCGUGUCGUAAAACACUCCUCCCUCUGUUUUCAAAAUAGAUGACGCUUAACUGGUAUCUAAUUCAAAAUCAAGUUUUUUUAAACAGAUAAAAUUUGCUCAAUCAGCUUUAUAAUAUAGUCUCACCAUAAACUCAAAAUCAACACUAUUUGUAGAUAUCCAGAUUCUCCACUCUUUUAACUGGGAUACGAAACAGUUCUGAUAUGGAACAAGAUAGACUACACCACCCCCCUUGGAUGUUCCCGGUUCUAAUUAAGCCUGAAAAUGGCUUUAUAUGACUUAUUUAGUUUGUGCACUGAAUUUGUGAUAUUUCUUCUUGAUUUGUAUGGUUUAUCCAAAUCUUACUUAUAUUUAAUUUUCCUGUUUGUUGCUGCAUUAUUACCUUGUAGGUUAAUUUUCUGCAGGCCAAUAACAAUCAUCAGCUUGCAAGGCCGCAAAGAAGGUGACAGUUCUUUUCAAUGUGGUUCUGACCGUCUCAUAGCUGAGUGAGUUGAUGUUUCAAACAACUCUCGGAUCAAACCUGGUCUGCAACAGUAAGACAUACACCUAAAAUAGCUGAAUCCCCGGCUUCCAUUCUAGGACAAGUACUUGAAGAAGAAUUAUCUUGGUAUUUAUUUAACUGCUGUUUUGUGUAAAAGCAUGUGAUAAUUUUUUUAGAACUUCCGACUAGUUGAACUGUCCUUAACAGGGCUAUGGAAGAAACAAAAUUUGUAUAAUAUUAAUGAAGUCUAGCACAAAAUAAUUGCAUUUCACAAGAAAUUUUACGUAGUAAGAUUUUAAUCAGGAUGCUAGCAAUUUAUUCAAUCAGUUUAGUAGUUUACUGUUAUAAAAGAAAAACCACAAAUACCAAACAAAUCACCUUAAAAUUUCAAGUUAAUAAUUAAUUAUGGAGUUUCAAAAAAUUAUAUUUAGAAUUUAAAAUUAUAGGUGGCAUGAUCAAUUAUUAAUUAUUGUAUACAGAACUAAAUCAGAAUAUUAUACUGAACUAUAUAUUUAAAUUUUAUAUGAUUUUUAUAUUGCUUUAGAUUAUAGACUAAUUCAUAAAUAAUAGUUUAUAAUGUUUAAUUUUAUAAUUAUCAUUUAUAUAUUAUUUUACUAUAUAUAUAAUUAAGACCAAUCUCUUUGCAUCAAAGGUGAUAUCGCUUUGUUUAUUCAUUCCUUUAAUUAUAUGUUACAGGGACAGCAGCACUGAUCUCUCCGUGAUCAUAGGGGCCAUGUAUGCAGCCGUAUUAUUUGUGGGAAUCAACAAUUGCUCAACAGUACAACCAAUUGUAGCAGUUGAAAGAACAGUAUUUUAUCGCGCAAGAGCAGCUGGGAUGUACUCUGCAAUCCCUUAUGCCUUAUCACAGGUAGUUUAUCGAAAUCUCUCGAUAUCAAUUUUCACUCAUCAAUAAAAUCUGUUCAGACCUGCUAAUCAAGGGCUUUCGUCGAUGCAGGUAUUUGUCGAGAUAGCAUAUGUGCUUGUCCAAACCAUAUACUACACUCUUAUAGUGUAUGCAAUGGUGUGCUUCGAAUGGACAGCUGCAAAAUUCUUCUGGUUCUUCUUCAUAACAUUUUUCUCCUUCCUCUACUUCACAUACUACGGAAUGAUGAUUGUGUCAAUCACACCAAACCAGCAAGUAGCCGCCAUUUUUGCAGCUGCAUUUUACGCGCUCUUCAAUCUGUUCUCCAGUUUCUUCAUCCCCAAACCAGUAAGUCACUUCCACAUUUAUCCUCUAAAAAUUCAGAAUAUCAAAAGAAAAAAAAAUCUAAGUCUGCAUUUUCUUGUUUUAUAAAAAUUACCAGAAAAUUCCUAAGUAGUGGAUAUGGUACUACUACCUCUACCCCGUGGCAUGGACUGUCUACGGAAUAAUAGUAUCACCCUAUGGCGACGUAACAGACACCAUCACAGUUCCAGGAAUGUCGACUAAACCAACCAUCAAAUGGUACAUAAAUGAUCAUUAUGGGUAUGAGUCGGAUUUUAUGGCGCCAGUAGCUGUGGUAUUAAUUGGUUUUACAGUCGUUCUUGUAUGCUUACUGCCUUAAAACAUUGAAAUUCCUGACAAAGUAGAGGACUGAAGAUCAGAGGGAGGUCUGUGAGUGUAGUAUAAUGGAGAAAUUGGACAGCAUGAAGAAGAAUAGUACUAAUGGUAAGAAAGAUUAUGACGGGGAUGAGGGUGUGGAGAGAAGGAGGGCAAGGAGAGAGAGGUCGAAGUUGAGGACAAAGAAAACGGAGAAUGGUAUUAAUGGUGGUGUAACUGUAUGUACUUCUGAUGAAAAAGUGAUUGAUAGUGCUGGGAAGAUGUACUGUAGUAAAUACUAACAUAAGAUUUUAGUUUCUACAGACCAUAACAAUAAAGUUUUUCAAUCAAGACAAAUAGAACCAAUUACCUAAUCCGACUUCCUUCCAUCAUCACUCACGACGCUUGUACGAUGAAUGCUUCCUAGCACCCCUUGCAUUCUCAUACUCAAAUUUCAACACAUGUGGUACAUGUGAAGUAUCCUUGACAUUGUUGUUGAGUCGCUCGACUAGUCGCGACUAGUCGUCGACUAGUCGAGUAGUCGGUGUGCAGGGCUCGACUGGGAUGGUCGACUAGACAGAUGUAAGUAUUUCGCCCGACUUAUGACUGACUGGUCGACUGGGUCGACUAGUCGGGUCGACUGGAAGACCCAGUCGGUCGACUAGUGUUCAAAUUCUAAAAAAAAUCAAAAACCCAGUUGUAUCAAAACCUAAAAACAAAAGCCCAGCAGCCUCCAGUCGAUUCCAAGCAGUCUCAGUCACUUCUAACAUCGAUUGAAUCGAUUCCAGUAGCUUUGUUUACUCUGUUAUUACUUACAUUUACACACACUCUGUUAUUACACACACUUGCACACUCUAUAAUCAGUAGUCACUAGUUGCAAUAGGCAUUGUUUAAUGCCAGUACACACACACAGAAUCACAGUUGCUUUGUUUAAUCUGCAGAAUGGCUGAUGCAUCGAACAAGGCUGUUUAUGCAUAAUUAAAAAGUGAGAAUGUAGAAGUUAGAACAGACAUAUAUAAUUUAUUACACAUAUAAAUAUAAGUAUAUAUAAUAUAUAAUAUUAAUUUUAUACCUUGUCGACUAGUGUCGACUAGUCUACGACUAGUCUCGACUAGUCACGACUCGACUUGCCGGAGAGUCUAGUCGACUCGACUCGACUUACCGACUUAACAACCAUGAUCCUUGAAAUAUAACACGCUCCCAAUUGGACUCUCUUCAAUCAUAGGAAAAUAUAAUUAACAAUAUAAAACCAACCCCCGUCAAGCAAAGCACCCAAUGUAACACCCUAAAACACCUGUACAACAGUAUAAGAACUAACUCUCAUCAAUAACCUCUAAUAUCAAACUUGAAAAGUACCGACUUCAAGGAGACUUCUACACAGCCUAGUUGAACUGACCUUAAGAGGGCCCUAAUUACGUGCUAAGAAUAACUAACUCUCAUAUCAAACUUGAAAAGGCAUAAUCAAAUUAUCAUAUUCAUAGGUAAUUAUCAAAUUAUCAUAGGUAAUUGUAUCUAAAGCAACAAUUAAAACUGGAUAAACAAAAAACCAAAUAAAUAAGUGAUUACCUCCUUGGACUGUAUGUGAAGAUACGAAGCUCUCCCCGAUAUGGAGACGGAGACAGAGGGCGAUGAAGACAGGGACAGAGAGCGAAGGUGAGUGUAUUGGUGAAUGUGAUGGAGAGGGAUACUGAUACUUGUAUCCUGUUCUAUUUGUUUUUGAUACUUCUAUCCUGUUCUAUUUGUUUUUGUUUUAAAAAGCAAGACUUGAAUUGUUCGUUAUUCUCAGCAGGGGUAAUAUAGGGUAAGCGACGAAACGAAACUAAAAGACUAAACCAAAAAUUUUGUACGAAAAAACAACGACCAAACCAAAAAUUGUGAAGGAAAAGUAGGACUACAAAUUAUACCCAUCUUGGCUUUUUAUAGUAUAGUAUAGAUUGAGAUUUUAAAAUUAUAUAAUCUGAAUAAUCGUAUUAUAUAUCAUUUUAAAAUUUUCAAACAAUAUAAAAUACAAAAUAAUUGCAAAAGAAAUAACUCGGUGUCCGUCCCGGACUCUAAACUAGAAUAAAUUUAAUAUAAAAUCCAUAAAUAUUAUAUUUAAAAUUAUGAUCACUAAUGGAAGGAAAAUGCUAGAUGGGGAUGGGCAUUUUACCGCCCCGCUCGACCUCAAUCCGAUUCCAGUCACGUUCGUAUCGGGGGAGCGGGGACUUUUUUGGGUAAAGGAUGGGGGAUCGGGGGAAGUUUAUUAAAUAUUCGGGGAUCGGAAAGGGUUCGCAUAUUGUCUCCCCAUCCCGAUGAGCCCAAAAACUCCUCAAUUUUCAUAUAUAAUAUAAAUAUUAUAUUUAUAUAUUAUUAUAAUACUACUUAUUAAUUAUAAAUAUAUAUUAUAUAUAUAGUUUAAAUAAUCUUCAUCAUUUUAUUAUUUAAAUGUAUUCAUAUUAUAACAUAAAUUAAUUAUAAUAAAUAUAGUUAUAUCUUCUAAUUUUUUGUGUUAGUUUAAAUUAAUACUCAAAAUGCUACAUAAAAGUAGAAACCUAUUAUGUACAAUGACAUAUUAAUACAAUUUUAAAUUAGAAUUUAUAUUAUAAUAUUUUUAAAAAAAUUAAUGAAUUCUCCAAAUCCCACAUUCAGGGCGGGGAUCGGGGAGCAAACGAAUUCCGUUCAGAAAUUGAGGCGGGUUCGGAGAUCGGAGACGGGGAUAACAUUCCGCGACUCGGAAGUGACCCAAAGCCCGUCCCUAAUGCUAGAUAUCCUAAAAAGGUGUUGCCAAAUCAUUAUCCCAAAUAUAGUUAACGACCUUCAAUAAUAAUAAAUGAUCUACAUAAAUCACCCAAUUAAAAUUAUUCAUAUGUUAUUUGAAAAAAUUUCGAUUCAACCAAAAAUAAGAAGCAUGAGAAAAAGUAAAACUCCAAGUCCUCUCGUUUAAGAGCCAUUACAUGACUCUUAUAUUACUCUUUUAUAAUAAAAUUCAUUCUCUCCCAUUUGAAUUUGAAUUUUUGUGAUAAUGGAGUUCAAAUAUGAAUAAAAUAUAAUGUUAGAAGUGAGUAUAAAGAGCAUUAGCGGAGUUUAUCAUUACACGACUCUUAAUUUAUUUUUAUAAUAAAGUAUCCAUUCCCUCUCAUUUGAAUUUGAAUGUUUGUCACAGUGGAGUUCAAAUAAAAAUAAAAUAUAAUGUUAGGAAGGUAUAUAAAGAUUCACACUCUUCAUAAUGUAUUAAUUUACUAAUAACUUAACAUUUUAUAUUAUAUUUAAGAAUAACCAGGAGCUUAUUGGAAAUGCUCUAACACAAGGAACCGAAUCCAACAGUUUCGGUUCGGGUCUUUCUACAGCGUUUUUUAUCCUUCUUGCACAAGAUCAGACUACUGAAACGAUGUGACAUGCUUGAAUGUAGCAACACAAGUACAUGCACCCAAUUGAACUACUGUGGAUAUUACAAAAACCACAAAGUCAUAUACUACACUAAGGAAGCAAUUACAUCCUUUUACUACAGAAACUCUACCUACAAAGUUAUCUAAAUCAUUAAUAUAGAGCUCCUAACAAGUGACUAAAUCAAUUAAAGAGGGACAAUACAACUGCAUAUUGUUAAUCAGCUACAACAUUAAGUGACUAUGAAAUCACUAAACCAAUGCAUACAGCAAGACCACAGCUAUAUAUUAUCAAUUCGCAACCUUUCUGUGCCCAGCAAACCAUAUCGCACAAAAUGGCUCCAGAAAACAACAGUACUCGUUCUGAAACUAGUUUGAGAACGAGAACACACGCAACAAUUAAACAAACUGUUAUUAUGGUGAUCUCCUUCUUUUCCAGAUAUGCUUGCUCGCCUGCAACUUUUUCGAUAUCUAAUCUGCAAAUCAAGUUAAACAUAACAGGAUCAACACAUGCUUCAAAACAUCAGUUAUUAUGCCAAGUAUAUUAGUUUCAAGUCAAAAUAUCAGUUAUAAUGUGAGAUAUGUUACUUUUAAGUCAAAAUACAGGUUAAAUUUGUCCUGAGCAAAUUCAUGGAAUUUUAGAAUCUUGCAGAACUGACCAUUUGAGCAGGAAAAGAUAAACGUGUAUGAGCUUAUACGACUAGUACAUGUGCGUAUCACAAACCUCAAAUUAACAUUUUCUCUUAUCACUGAUUCCAGCUUCGACAUGACGCCACUUUUCCAUGAAUCAAUGUCAGCAACUUCUUUCUCCUGCAAAAUCAUAUGAAUCACAUUAAAAAUGACAAAGUUAACAUAAAUGGUUUACAUGCCAAGUGAAACUUAAAGAGUAAUGCAGAUGUGCACGCACCAUAAUCUCUUUCCAUUCUAAAAUAUCCUUGACCUCGAUUUUGCUCUUUUCCAACAGCUUUUUAUAGUCUGCAAUUUUUUUCUCCAGGUCAGGUAUAACCUCUGUUUGUCCAUUGUUUAAUCGUUUGAUGUACUCCUCCAAUGCGGAUAAAUUUGUUUCAAGUGACCUCACCUUCUGCAUUAAUAUUUUAAGAACGACAUCCCCGUGUAUUCUACCACUUGAUUGUUGUCUAACUUUGACUGUCGGAUUGACUAUAGGAUCAGGGAUGUUGCUUACUGUGACUUGAACUUUUGGUGCAUCAACUGUUGGCUUAUUCCCAUCAUCAGCCCCUUCUACCCCUUUACUUUUACUAGAGACAUCAACCGCCUGUUUAGCUUCACCAUCAACCUUUUUAUCAUUAACGCCUGAUUCUGGUUUUGCAGACAGAGUAAUAGUUGAAUUAGGUUUUGAUAAUUUAGUGGAAGCACUUUCCUCAGAUUUUACAAUGAGAUCUUCAAGCAUCUGCUCAAUUGCAUCAUCUCCAUACACUCCCACAAGACUCAACGUGCAGUAAAAUUCUGAUCCAUAAUGACUAAGCAAAUUCAGCUUUAAGUAUCUCACCCACUUUGGUUCAGGUAGCUUAAAACUUUGAGUAUGCUUCACAUUUGCUGCGACAAAGCUUCCCAAUGAGUACCAUAUCUCAGUUGGAUAAGUCAAACUACCAGACAAAUUAAACUCCUUAAAAUUAGAAGAAUAAUGUUCAAAAUUUGCAAUUUUGACAGCAUCUACCAGCGUCUCCUCAGCGAGUUCAAUGACAACAUAUUUCCCCCCAAUUGAACAAGGAUUUCUCAAAUAUUUAUCAUGGUCUUUCCCCAAUAUGUUGCUAGCUCCUUUUGCUUCCUUGUUGUGCGCAACCACCUUUGCACCCUUUGAAUCAGAGGCGUAGUUGUAUUCCGUCCCAUCAGGUUCAAGUCUAUGGGUAAUAUUAACGCGUGCAUUUGGUGUAGAGCCUUUUUCUUUCAUUGUCAUGUUUAGUGAUGCAUCAAAAGAUGCUUCAUAUGUUCUAGCAGUAUCAAAUUUUCCCGUUUUUGUAUAUCUAUCUUCAUCUUGCAGGUUAAGCUCACACAUCAACUCCCUAUACCCUAAUAUACUCUGGACUAAAUCUUUCCGACGACAUGUUCCCUGAGGUGAUUUCCUCGAAUUUGUAUUGUUAUGAUCCUGACCACUAGGUUUACUAAUAUUCAGAGGCACUUUAACUUCGAAAACUAAUUCUUGCUUAUAAUCAUCAUCCCUAUUUUCUACAAAAUCAUAUGCGAUGUCAGAAUGCUUGUCAUAAGAUAUACUUGAGUUAGUCAUGCUCCGAUUACUGGACUGUACAUUCCCUGUUCAAUACAAAUCUCAAUCACUACAAACUAUUACAUCCAAAAAAUCUAAAUACCAAACAAACAAUGAUCAUUUCAUUCAUAAUAAGUCUACAUAAUUUGACAUUACUACAAGGAACUCGCAUAAUUUCGACAGAAAAUCAUGAACCAUAUAUCCCACAAAUUCUUCCAGAAACAGAUUAACCCGCAAUAAAAAAAUCAAAAACACUAAAUUAAAUUCAAAAAAAAAUAAUCAAAAACCAAAGAGUGCCUAAAAUUUAACCCAAAGAUUCCAAAACCACUAAAAUUAAAUGCAUAAAAAUGGGUCUUAACUCACAAUAAAAAAAUGAAAACCACUAAAAUAAAAAAGUAAAAAGAUAAAAAAUUUACCUCCAUUACCGUAUGUAAGGCCAAGCUUAGAAUAAAACAAGAAAACAAGAAACCAAAAGGAGAUCAUUAAAGGCAAAGAAAGCUCAAACAAGCUCUUCUUCUCAAUGUCUUUUUGUGGGCCCCUUUUUCCAGACUUGAUGUAUAUGAGAUCACCGUUGUGGGUUUUCUUUUUCCUCAUAUCUCAUCGUCAUUUAACUUUUCCGGCGGCCGUUAAAAUUCAUCGGCGACAGGGGUGUUUUAUGUAGUUGGUGAUAUAAAUUGGAUUUAUUAUGUUGUGUUGCAUGUGGGGUUGUGUGAGAAUGUCUGAAAAUAUGUUUUAAUCGGAGAGGGAUGGCUUGUUUGGUUGGUGAGGUGGUGUUUUUGUGUGGCUGUGCAAAGGUUUGCUUCCGAAAGUACCGGAAAGUGUUUUACUACUUCCACUCCACUAUUUUUCUGUUUUUAAAUACUCCGUCUGUUUUUUAAUAUAUGACGAUUGACUUUUUGGCACACAUUUUUAAGUGUUUUGACCGAGUAGUUAAAAUAUUAUUUUUGAAAUUUUCUUUUUCUGAAUAAAAAUAUAUAAUCAAAAUUUUAAUUCACCAAAAAAAUCAAUUAAAAAUAAUGAUUUUUACUAUCCAGUCAACCCACCUAAAGGUACGUGCACAAGUCAAAAGUGACAUAUAAAAAAACAGAGGGAGUAUGACUACAGUCUACACGUGCAGACGUGCUACUUUCGUUUAUUGUUUUCAUGACUGUCUUAAUAUUUUUUUAUUAAAGAAUUUGAAUAUUUUAUGUGUUAGACAAAGAAAACAAAAUAAUUAUUUAUUUAACUCGUUUUUUCGACAGUUUGGGUCUGUCUCGGCUGGGUUUUGACGAGUGGUUUCUGUUAAUAAAACUAAUUGUAUGUCAAAAAAUAAUAAUAAGGAGAUGAUCUGAUGAUGAUCAAGCGUCUACAUGUUAAAUGUUAUUCUCUUCGUUUCUUUUUUUUUUUAAGAUUUUUUAUUUUUGACAUGUAUUUUAAAAUAACAGGUAAAAUAUAAUUUCAUAACUUAUUUUUAAAUUUAUUUUCUAAAAUAUUUGAUAUUAAAUUUUUAUUAAAAAAAAUUAAAAAUAAUUUAUAAAACUACAUUUAAUAUAAACGUAUUAGAAUAUGUGCUAGUUUUCGCAAGAUAAAGAACCUAGAAAGACAAAUAGAGUAUCUUGUCUCCAUUUUUAUUAUCCUAUAAGAAUUUCGGUACUGAUAUUACCAACCGGAGACACAUGCUCUCUGCUUCCACACACACACUGUUUUCAGGAUCUGGUGUGUUCAUGACCCAGAAGUAGAUAACUUCUUACACCAGGACACAUUAGCUGGAAAAAUGGUGGGCUUGUGAGAUAGUUGCGGAGUGGUCAGAAGCCAAGUCAUUCAUAACAACAUCCUGUAAGGAAUCUGGUAAAUCGCAAAGUUGUCUGGUUUAAGGCAUAACCAUAGGGCAUUUCAAUAUCAAAGCCAACAUCUGCGACAAACUCAAAGAGUCCAGAAAUUUGCUAGACUCUGGCUAAGAAGAUCCUGUUAUAUAGUCCGCAACAAGCCUCUGACAUUGUACAGAUGGUGUAGAAUUUCGUAGCUCAUUUCUUCCAUAUUUACAGUUUACAUUCAGUUGUGAAUAUUUAUGCCGACAUUUUUUUAAAAUUCAUGCAAAAAACUAUAAAAUCCACAUGCAUACACAGAUUGUAAUGUGGAACAUCCAGAAACAUAAAUAACAACAGAACACGAGUUUGGGGUUCCAAUUUUCAUAUUUAUCACAACAAGGAGGUCCACCUCACGGAGUAAACUUGCCACCAUGCUUUAGAAUGGGGAGCUGGGACACCUCCUCAACAAUCCGAGUUUAUCUUUUGCCCGGGCCUCAUCUUUGGCUUCUUCUGCUUCAAUGUUCUGCAUGAUGUUCACAAAAAACAUCUCAAAAUUUAACAUAUUCAAGAAUGCAGGACAACAUUUCCACCAAAUUUUCAUCAUCGGUUAGUACAAAACAUUGAAACUUUACAUAAAAAAUGCACAAUUCAAAUGGCACAAACCUCCACAAGGAAUGACAUCAUCACAUUGCACCAUUUCUGUAAAAUUGUGUUUAUGGGCUCACAAGAUUAGUUUGAGUGAAUAGUGCUGGUCUUUAACGCUGCCUGUUCAUGUCACUCAACAAAGAGAGUUUUGUUAACACAAGAAGCUAUUGUAAACAAAUAAAUUCUAAUAAAUUGAAGCUAGAUGACCAGGAAUAGGGUAUAUACCAAUCUAUGUCUGAGGUAACUGGUAAGCAUUCUUAACUUUCCAAUGAUUCAGCUCUGCUUCUAGUUCAACCGUGUACGCCUGUCCAUACAAAUAAAACAUUUGAGGUAUCACAACAGUAAAAAAUACACACUUCAGUUUAGAAACAAGAUAAGAGCGGUACAUGUUUUCUUGCUCUGGAUCUUACUGCAGACUCCCUGUUUUUCAGUAUCUUCUUUCGACGGUUCUCAAUGACCCUUUCCACAGGGCCAUUCCGCUUCCUUCCCUAUCCCAUCAGAGGAAACAUGACUCAUGUUGGUAUUACUCCCCCUCCAUGAACACUAUAGGCAAGUUGGUAUGUGCUGUCGCUACUUAUUCCACCUGGCAAGCAAGCCGCUACACUUGCUCUACCAAUUUGUGGCAGUGAUUUGAAUAGAGUAAGAAUAUUAAGCUACCAGCACCACCAUAUCCCAGAACCAUAAAGCUAGAUGCUGCUGUAUUUUCGUAGUUUACAUGCAUACCAUAGGCCAGUUGAGAGUGAGGCUGUGGCUGAAGCUGAGGCAGCUGAGGGGGAAGAGAAGGAGGAGGAGGUGGUUGUGCUUGUCUGGCACUUUCUUCUCGGACUACACCUGCCCUGACAAAAAAUUCCUCCAGUGUCAUUUUUCCAUAUGCAGGUUCGCUUUGCCUGGAACCAGAAUGAUCGGUGCUUUGCUGUGUUCUACUGAUCUCAGACCACACUUCUGCCCCUCUUUUCAAGCUCAUUUAUUUAAUUUUUUUAAAUUGAAAUAUUGAUUCCAGUAAUCGACCAAUAACAUGAUAUGAGAUAUGAUACCUUAAAAGCAUAUUAAUUUAACUCGUUUCCUCAACCUCAUAGGACUACACUGCGCAAACCAAACGACCCCUUGGAGUCUGUUUUAUGAUACCGGAUUUUAUUGGCGAUUUACCCAUUCACUGACUUUUGCUAGCCCUUUUCAAAUUUAAUCUUAAAAUUUUACAUGUUUAUAUAAUAAGUCAGAGACUGACAAUAUGUAAAAUAUGUGAGAACCUGAUUUAAUUUCAUAAGUUGGUAGGUUGUAUUUUUUUGAACAACUUAUUUUAUUUAAUGAUUUUUCUAAUAUAAAUCAAUUUCAUCAUUCAAAUGAAUAACAUAAUAAAUUACUUUUAUUAUUAUAAUUUUAAUAACUUAUAAGUCACAUACAAUGUAAAUUAUCUAGAUAACUUAAAUUACACACCUAUCAUGACAAAGAGAAAUACUUAUAUUAUAUGGAGGUAGAGUAGGGGUUUAUUGGUACCAUAAAUAUUCUAUAAAAAUGACAAAACCGAAAAUAUAAGGAUUACAUUUAAUCAUUUUUUGUUGGAACUUCUUGCAGUUACAAUUAAACUCAAAUAUAUUGUUCUAAUGGGGCUCCAGGUUUAUUAAAGAAAGAAGCUGCUCUAAUUCUUCUGCUACUUGCUUUGCAUCAGGUCUUGAUUUGGUAUCUACUGAGGUGCAUCUAAGUGCGAGGGAAGAGGCUGUUGAUGCUGCUCCUACAGUGUAUUGGCCUUCCAAAUGUGCAUCCAUUAUAUCCAAAAUCCCAUGCUCUUUGCUGAGCCGAGACUGAACCGAAGAAGCCAGGUUCACCUCAUUGUCGGCUUUUCGUCCUGUCAAAAGUUCCAGGAGGACAACUCCAAAGCUGUAGACAUCGCUUUUCAAUGUUAAUUCACCUUCAUAAGAAUAGAUUAUCAUGGGAUUAGUAGAUAAUACAGAAGCAAGGAGUAUGUGCCCUGCUUGAUUAGAGAUAUUUGCAAUCUACUUCCAGAAAAAAUAUAACAUGUACACAGCUAAACCCUUUAGACGUAAGGUUAUGUGAAAUAUUAACCUGUAUGAUAAUAUUCGGGAUCUAUAUAACCGAAUGUUCCCUGAACACGUGUAGUAACAUGGGAUCUUUCCUCUUCUGGUCCGUCCUUAGCCAGACUAAAACCAGAGAGCUUUGCAUUGUAUUUCUGUCAGUAACAGAAAUUUUGUCAGGCAAAAGUAUAUUUUUAGGGGGAACAAUGGUCGGUAGUAAAUUUUAACCAUCAUUGUUUCUACAUACUGAAUCAAUCAAUAUGUUGGAUGUUUUGACAUCACGAUGUAUAACAUUUACUCCUGGACCAUGAAGAUAUGCAAGCCCCUUAGCAGCUCCAUGAGCAAGACCUAUACGAAGUUUCCAGGAGAGCCGUUGAGAAGUAGAAACCCCUGUUUCAAGUGAAUUAAGUAGCUGCGUCAAACAACAGUUUUUCACAGGCAUAGCUUACAAAACCCAGGUUUUUCCCCUUCUUAAGAUUUUUACAAUUUUACGCGGAGCCCACCAUCUAAUAACUUAUGACGAAUAUUAUACGAGCGAUGAAAAAUUGAACUUAAGACGCAUUCAAAAGCGACAGAUAUUUUCCGUCGUAAUUGUGUCCAUUUACGACAGAUGCAGUGUUAUAAGAGGAUAAUUGACUAGAUCAGAGCUAAUAAUAUUAAGAAACUCACGCAGAUGCUGGUCCAAGCGUCCAUGAAGUGGGUGCUCAAGUACUAGAAGCCGCUCCUUUUCCAAGCAAUAUCCAAUCAGUUUUACGAUAUUAGGAUGACAAAGUUUUCUUAAGGUAUCGAUUUCUUUCUGUAGUAUAAGAGGUGACAGAGUUCUUUAGUAGCUUAAAUAAAACACAACAAAAAUUGUAAAACUAAAACAAAAAGAUCACAGGGAAAUGUAUUGCAGGCAAAAGUUGAAAAGUGAGACUAACCAACCACACCUCCUUGAAAUUUGGGUUAUCUUUCAAUCUCUUUAUUGUAGUAAUCGGACCAGUACCCUUAUAAUAAGUAUAAUAAUCAUCAUUCCCCCACAGAGCACCGGGAUCGAACUUGCUGGUAGCUGUCCUGAGAUGAUGGAAUGUGUAACUCUUCAAAUUUGAUGGCUUCAUGAUGAGCUUUGAACAGGGCUGUUUGAGACUUUUUUUUUGAGGCCCUGUGCUAACUAUAAGAAUGAGGUCCUCCCAAAUGACAACACAAAAUUUUAAUAUAUUUAAAAUAAUAAGAUAUCAUCCAUAAAAUUAUACUACUACAACUGAAAAAUUGUUUGAUUGCAACUACUACAAAAAACAUCAACUAUUACUUGAACUUGUCACUUCUUCUAGCGUUUUUUGAAGUGAAUUCAUCCACCAAGUCUUCAUAAUCAAUUGGUUGGAGGCUUUUAAAAAAUAAAAUUCAGAUAAUUUCUACACCCAUUUGAUGAACACCGGAGCUUGAAAUCUUUGAUGGAGUCUGGAGAAGAAAUGGCAUGACAGUGGAAUGGACAAAUGAGUCACUAAAAUAUGUUUGCUCGUUAAAAGUUUUGUUUUUUUGGAUAGUUAGACUUAAAUAUGUGUGUGGCCAUGUGGGAUUUAGCUUACACAGUGUACUAGUUUGUGGGGGUGGGGGGAGGAAUAAGAAGAGACAUGCAUAGCUCGAUCUUGAGAAUUGAUUAGUGUUUAAAUAAAAUAAUGUUAACAAUUAAAGAGAUGUUAAUAUUAUAUUAUAUUUAUCAUGAGUAUACUAAGAGAUAGACAGAAGUAGUCAUAUAAAAACGGCCCUGGCUUUGAAUCCCUGUUGACUGGCGUACUUGGCCAAACCUAUUUUUAGCGUAUUCGUGUAGCUUUUGUUAAAGAAACUAUAGGUCAAUUUAUGAUUUAUAAAUCUAUAUAGAUGAAAUUGAAGAUCUUAAUUUUUUUGUUACUUAAUUUGGAUUUACAAAACGUAUUACAGUGAGAUUACCUGAUAUGACCCGAGCUGCAAGUGUCAGCAAAGUAGCAAAUCUUUGAAAAGAAGAAGACUGCUUCUCUUUCUCGGGGAAGAAUGAAGAAGACUGCUUUUCCUGAUGCCUACUGCUGGAAAUACCAUCCAGCUCAUCAUCGGAAUUUUCAUUCUCCACCUCAUGGUCUGAUACAUCUCCUUCCUCCACCUCAGAGUCUGAUAUAUCUAUUUCCUCUUGGUUCUCAUCACUAGUUAUCUUUUCAGUCCUCUUUUCUUGCAAGGCCAAGGCAGACUCAAGACCAACAACAACCUCAGCCAUAGUGGGACGAUGUUUAGGUUCGGUCUGUAAACACUGGAUUGCAACUUUCACGAACAUCUCUAGAGAAUCAGGAUACACAUUAUCUUUUAUUCCCUCAUCAAUAAUUUCCCCCAGUCUUUUCUCUCUGAAGCAAUAUUGUGCCCAUCUAGCUAAACCAAUUUGCUCUUCAUCCAGACUCUUGUCCACUGCUGGCCUUCCACACAAGACCUCAAAUAACACAACACCGAAGGCAUACACGUCGGAUUUCCUCGUGAGCCUUUGGGUUUGGAAAUAAUCAGGAUCAAAAUAUCCAAAGGUUCCUUUCACCUGAGUGCUUACGAAUGUAUGCGUCUGAUUAGCUGGACUUGUUCUAGAUAAUCCGAAAUCAGAAACCUUAGCUGCAAAAUUCUGGUCAAGUAGGAUGUUAGUGCUCUUUACAUCACGGUGUAUGAUUCUCUGGUAAAUCCCUGUUCCAGUGUGAAGGUAAUCCAGUCCUCGAGCUGCUCCGAUACAAAUCUUGAGACGUUGAACCCAUGAAAGAGGCGAAGAAGAAGUGUCAUCUUGUCUAAGCCUCUUAUGAAUAUGAUCGGCUAACGUACCACCUGCCAUAAAUUCAUAAACAAGAAUCAU
Molecule: long non-coding RNA, 38416 nt
Filed under: Daucus carota (carrot)
Lineage: Eukaryota; Viridiplantae; Streptophyta; Magnoliopsida; Apiales; Apiaceae
Description: long non-coding RNA (DCAR_LNC006455)
Source: RNAcentral